UACAGAGGGUGCAAACGUUGCUCGGAAUCAUUGGGCGUAAAGCGCGUGUAGGCGGCACGACAAGUCAGCUGUGAAAGCCCUCGGCUCAACCGAGGAAGUGCAGCUGAAACUGUCGCGCUAGAGUGCUGAAGAGGGUGGCGGAAUGCGCAGUGUAGAGGUGAAAUUCGUAGAUAUUGCGUAGAACACCAGUGGCGAAGGCGGCCACCUGGGAAGCUACUGACGCUAAGACGCGAAAGCAUGGGGAGCAAACAGG
This 253-nucleotide ribosomal RNA is filed under the name uncultured bacterium. RNAcentral describes it as "partial 16S ribosomal RNA". It matches the Rfam family "Bacterial small subunit ribosomal RNA", at positions 524 to 776 of the family's 1533-position model. The record is from RNAcentral.